RNAcentral lists this ribosomal RNA (434 nucleotides) under uncultured Arthrobacter sp. RNAcentral describes it as "bacterial SSU rRNA". It matches the Rfam family "Bacterial small subunit ribosomal RNA", at positions 958 to 1391 of the family's 1533-position model. Lineage: Bacteria; Bacillati; Actinomycetota; Actinomycetes; Micrococcales; Micrococcaceae. The record is from RNAcentral.
UACGCGAAGAACCUUACCAAGGCUUGACAUGGACUGGAAAUACCUGGAAACAGGUGCCCCGCUUGCGGCCGGUUCACAGGUGGUGCAUGGUUGUCGUCAGCUCGUGUCGUGAGAUGUUGGGUUAAGUCCCGCAACGAGCGCAACCCUCGUUCUAUGUUGCCAGCACGUGAUGGUGGGGACUCAUAGGAGACUGCCGGGGUCAACUCGGAGGAAGGUGGGGACGACGUCAAAUCAUCAUGCCCCUUAUGUCUUGGGCUUCACGCAUGCUACAAUGGCCGGUAAAAAGGGUUGCGAUACUGUGAGGUGGAGCUAAUCCCAAAAAGCCGGUCUCAGUUCGGAUUGGGGUCUGCAACUCGACCCCAUGAAGUCGGAGUCGCUAGUAAUCGCAGAUCAGCAACGCUGCGGUGAAUACGUUCCCGGGCCUUGUACACACC